CAGGAUGAACGCUAGCUACAGGCUUAACACAUGCAAGUCGAGGGGCAGCAUUGGGAUAGCUUGCUAUCCAGAUGGCGACCGGCGCACGGGUGAGUAACGCGUAUCCAACCUUCCCUAUAGUAGAGAAUAGCCCGGCGAAAGUCGGAUUAAUGCUCUAUGUUGUGUUUUGAGGACAUCUGACGAACACCAAAGGUUCACCGCUAUAGGAUGGGGAUGCGUCUGAUUAGCUUGUUGGCGGGGUAACGGCCCACCAAGGCGACGAUCAGUAGGGGUUCUGAGAGGAAGGUCCCCCACAUUGGUACUGAGACACGGACCAAACUCCUACGGGAGGCAGCAGUGAGGAAUAUUGGUCAAUGGGCGAGAGCCUGAACCAGCCAAGUAGCGUGCAGGAUGACUGCCCUAUGGGUUGUAAACUGCUUUUAUCAGGGAAUAAAGUGCGGCACGUGUGCCGUUUUGUAUGUACCUGAUGAAUAAGGACCGGCUAAUUCCGUGCCAGCAGCUGC
Molecule: ribosomal RNA, 503 nt
Filed under: uncultured bacterium
Lineage: Bacteria
Description: bacterial SSU rRNA
Rfam family: Bacterial small subunit ribosomal RNA
Source: RNAcentral